Small nuclear RNA from Phyllostomus hastatus (greater spear-nosed bat), 107 nucleotides. The record is from RefSeq and is a predicted model, not a curated record. Lineage: Eukaryota; Metazoa; Chordata; Mammalia; Chiroptera; Phyllostomidae.
GUGCUUGCUUUGGCAGCAUAUAUAUUACAAUUAAAACAACACAGAGAAGAUUAGCAUGGCCUCUGAGCAAGGAUGACGCACAAAUUCAUGAAGUGUUUCAUAAUGUU